GAAGGGGUGUAUUUAUUAGAUAAAAAACCAAUGCCCUUCGGGGCUCCUUGGUGAUUCAUGAUAACUUUACGGAUCGCAUAGCCUUGCGCUGGCGACGGUUCAUUCAAAUUUCUGCCCUAUCAACUUUCGAUGGUAAGGUAUUGGCUUACCAUGGUUUCAACGGGUAACGGGGAAUUAGGGUUCGAUUCCGGAGAGGCAGCCUGAGAAACGGCUACCACAUCCAAGGAAGGCAGCAGGCGCGCAAAUUACCCAAUCCCGACACGGGGAGGUAGUGACAAUAAAUACUGAUACAGGGCUCUUCUGGGUCUUGUAAUUGGAAUGAGUACAAUUCAAAUCUCUUAACGAGGAACAAUUGGAGGGCAAGUCUGGUGCCAGCAGCCGCGGUAAUUCCAGCUCCAAUAGCGUAUAUUAAAGUUGUUGCAGUUAAAAAGCUCGUAGUUGAAACUUGGGCCUGGCUGGCGGGUCCGCCUCACCGCGUGCACUCGUCCGGCCGGGCCUUCCUUCUGAAGAACCUCAUGCCCUUCACUGGGCGUGCUGGGGAAUCAGGACUUUUACUUUGAAAAAAUUA
Molecule: ribosomal RNA, 568 nt
Filed under: Alternaria infectoria
Lineage: Eukaryota; Fungi; Ascomycota; Dothideomycetes; Pleosporales; Pleosporaceae
Description: SSU rRNA
Rfam family: Eukaryotic small subunit ribosomal RNA
Source: RNAcentral